Molecule: transfer RNA, 71 nt
Filed under: Loxodonta africana (African savanna elephant)
Lineage: Eukaryota; Metazoa; Chordata; Mammalia; Proboscidea; Elephantidae
Rfam family: tRNA
About the family: Transfer RNA (tRNA) molecules are approximately 80 nucleotides in length. Their secondary structure includes four short double-helical elements and three loops (D, anti-codon, and T loops). Further hydrogen bonds mediate the characteristic L-shaped molecular structure. tRNAs have two regions of fundamental functional importance: the anti-codon, which is responsible for specific mRNA codon recognition, and the 3' end, to which the tRNAs corresponding amino acid is attached (by aminoacyl-tRNA synthetases). tRNAs cope with the degeneracy of the genetic code in two manners: having more than one tRNA (with a specific anti-codon) for a particular amino acid; and 'wobble' base-pairing, i.e. permitting non-standard base-pairing at the 3rd anti-codon position.
Source: Rfam by way of RNAcentral
GCAUUGGUGGCUCAGUGGUAGAAUUCUUGCCUUGCAUGUCGGAGACACAGGUUUGAUUCCUGGCCAGUGCA